CAGAAAUGCACAGUUCGGAAGCUCCUGAGGCUGUGUGCUUCUGCAGGAAGCCCCACCUGGGGAAGAGCAACCCAGUAAAACACAGGCGAGCUGAGCUGUUCCUAGAAACCACGGUGGGGAUGAAACCUCAAGAUGAUGGAAGACUGCCCCCCCAUGAGAUGAAGUAAAUACUUGGCUGGCAACCAAAUUCAAGGUAAAGUUGAGGGACCGCAUCCACCCCUCACCAGAUUGUAUCCUCUCCCCUAUCUAAUCUUAUUCCUGCUCACACUCUGUGUCCCAAAAUGAAAUUCCAAGACGAUGGCGGAGUGCCCCCUCACAAUGUGAAGCACCAGCUCAGAUGGAAACUGAAUUUGAGGAUGAAAUCCCAAGACAACAGAGGAGUGCCCUCUUAUGACCUGAAGCACUUGUUCAACUGGGAACCAAAGUGGAGGGGCUCUCUGGGAAAGACAGGAACCACGACAAAGGCAAGUCCAAGGUGGAACAGUGUUCUCACAUCUCGGGCUGGCCUCUCACAGGUGCAGAAGAUGUUGAGACAGUGACGAUGGUAAAGUUGCAGGAACAUAAUCACCAGAUUGUGUCCUCAUCCUUAUCUUACCUUAAUGUUGCUUACACUCUAUGUCCCAGGAUGAAAUUACAAGAUGACGAAGGAGUGCCCCAUCACAACUUGAAGCACCUGCUUGACAGAGAAACAAAUUCAAGGGGGAGGUGAUUUCGAUGCCAGCAUGUCUCAGCCUACCUCCCAAUUCACAGUGGAUUCAUGAUCUGCAGAAAAAUGAAGAACACAAAGCCCUGCAGGUCAAGCAGAACCACACAGACAGGACACCAAAGGGUUGGGAGACAAAAGAAAGAAGUGCUAAAGUGUGUUAGCCACAUUUCUUUAAGCAUGCUAUACUUACAGGCACACAAAGACACAAACACAGCCACAAACAUGCAAGGAAACAAGCACAUUGAUAUCCAACACUCACAACACUCUCACAAAAACACACUUUCUUUCAGCUCAUGAGGUUUUAUGGUUCUGCAGAAAUCCUCACUUUGAAUAGAGCAACCUGGUACAUAGAAAUCACAGUGGGGCAAGUUUCAAAAAGACUCACCCUAAAAUGUGUAGGCAGG
Molecule: long non-coding RNA, 1110 nt
Filed under: Homo sapiens (human)
Lineage: Eukaryota; Metazoa; Chordata; Mammalia; Primates; Hominidae
Description: HSALNT0288053
Source: RNAcentral